UCCAGCAAUGGGGGAAGAGGUGUAUUUAUUUAAAACUAAAACCAAUCAGCUUCGGCUGUUUGAGAUGAUUCAUAAUAACUCGGCAAAUUACGGGAAAAUUCCUGUGAUGAUUCAAACGGAUUUCUGACCUAUCAACUUUAGAUGGCAAAGUAGGGGUUUGCCAUGGUGACAACGGGUGACGGGGAAUUAGGGUUCGAUUCCGGAGAGGGAGCCUGAGAAACGGCUACCACUUCCGAGGAAGGCAGCAGGCGCGCAAAUUACCCAAUGCUAAUUCGGCGAGGUAGUGACAAGAAAUACCAAUGUAGGACCCAACGGGUACUACGUUUGGAAUGAGAACAAUUUAAAAACCUUAACGAGGAACAAUUGGAGGGCAAGUCUGGUGCCAGCAGCCGCGGUAAUUCCAGCUCCAAUAGUGUAUAUUAAAGUUGCUGCGGUUAAAAAGCUCGUAGUUGGAUUACGAAGUGGUGUUUAGAUGUCAUUUUGGUUUGUUUGUCUUUCGGGGCAUUCAGGUCAACUUGGCUUUUACUCACUGUUGUCAUUGUCUUUGCCCAAGGUAUAUGCCUUGUGUGCAUGGCAUUGACCUUCUAUUUUAUGGUAAUGUUGUAUCUUUCGGGGUACAUUCAUUCCAUAUAGUUUACUUUGAAAAAAUUAGGGUGUUUAAAGCAGGCGAAAAGGCUUCGGAAUAUAUUAGCAUGGGAUAAUAGAAUACGAUCUAGGUCGUAAUUUGUUGGUUUCUACGGCUUAGGUAAUGAUUGACAGGGAUAGUUGGGGUCGCUCGUAUUGAGUUGUCAGAGGUGAAAUUCUAGGAUUAACUCAAGACGAACUAAUGCGAAAGCAUUCGGCAAGGAUGUUUUCAUUAAUCAAGAACGAAAGUUGGGGGAUCGAAGAUGAUCAGAUACCGUCGUAGUCUCAACUGUAAACUAUGUCGACCGAGGAUCCGGUAGCGUUACAUGGAUGACCUUCCGGGCACUCUGUGAGAAAUCAUAAGUAUUUGGAUUUCGGGGGGAGUAUGGUCGCAAGGCUGAAACUUAAAGGGAUUGACGGAAGGGCACCACCAGGAGUGGAAUCUACGGCUUAAUUUGACCCAACACGGGAAAACUUACCAGGUCCGGACACAGUGAGGAUUGACAGAUUGAGAGCUCUUUCUUGAUUUUGUGGGUGGUGGUGCAUGGCCGUUUUUAGUUGGUGGAGUGAUUUGUCUGGUUAAUUCCGUUAACGAACGAGACCUUAACCUAUUAAAUAGCUGCGCGAACCCAGGUUCUUUAACCAUUCUCUCCUUCGGGGGGGCGUGGUAUCAUUAUUUUGCUUUUCACUUUCGGGUGGGAG
RNAcentral lists this ribosomal RNA (1326 nucleotides) under metagenome. Its description in RNAcentral is "SSU rRNA". It matches the Rfam family "Eukaryotic small subunit ribosomal RNA", at positions 183 to 1420 of the family's 1831-position model. The record is from RNAcentral.